Molecule: ribosomal RNA, 407 nt
Filed under: uncultured delta proteobacterium
Lineage: Bacteria; Deltaproteobacteria
Description: bacterial SSU rRNA
Rfam family: Bacterial small subunit ribosomal RNA
Source: RNAcentral
GGGAUAACCAGUCGAAAGAUUGGCUAAUACCGGAUACGACCGAGAAGGCCUCGGCCUUCUCGGGGAAAGGUGGCCUCUGCUUGCAAGCUACCACCCGAAGAGCGGCCUACGCACCAUUAGCUAGUUGGCGGGGUAAAGGCCCACCAAGGCUGAGAUGGUUAGCUGGUCUGAGAGGAUGGCCAGCCACACUGGGACUGAGACACGGCCCAGACUCCUACGGGAGGCAGCAGUGGGGAAUAUUGCGCAAUGGGCGAAAGCCUGACGCAGCGACGCCGCGUGGGUGAUGAAGGCCUUCGGGUCGUAAAGCCCUGUCGGGAGGGAAGAAACAUCGCCGACCCAAUACGUUGGCGACUUGACGGUACCUCCUAAGGAAGCACCGGCUAACUCCGUGCCAGCAGCCGCGGUAA